CCUCUGAUAGCUCAGCUGGAAGAGCGCAAGACUGUAAAUCUUGAGGUCCCUGGUUCGAUCCCGGGUCAGAGGA
Molecule: transfer RNA, 73 nt
Filed under: Penicillium chrysogenum
Lineage: Eukaryota; Fungi; Ascomycota; Eurotiomycetes; Eurotiales; Aspergillaceae
Also listed under: 8 other names
Description: tRNA-Tyr (GTA) (tRNA-Tyr-GTA-1 1 to 4)
Rfam family: tRNA
About the family: Transfer RNA (tRNA) molecules are approximately 80 nucleotides in length. Their secondary structure includes four short double-helical elements and three loops (D, anti-codon, and T loops). Further hydrogen bonds mediate the characteristic L-shaped molecular structure. tRNAs have two regions of fundamental functional importance: the anti-codon, which is responsible for specific mRNA codon recognition, and the 3' end, to which the tRNAs corresponding amino acid is attached (by aminoacyl-tRNA synthetases). tRNAs cope with the degeneracy of the genetic code in two manners: having more than one tRNA (with a specific anti-codon) for a particular amino acid; and 'wobble' base-pairing, i.e. permitting non-standard base-pairing at the 3rd anti-codon position.
Source: RNAcentral